UGGGCCCGCGGCCUAUCAGCUUGUUGGUGGGUAAUGGCCUACCAAGGCGACGACGGGUAGCCGGCCUGAGAGGGUGUCCGGCCACACUGGGACUGAGAUACGGCCCAGACUCCUACGGGAGGCAGCAGUGGGGAAUAUUGCACAAUGGGCGCAAGCCUGAUGCAGCGACGCCGCGUGAGGGAUGACGGCCUUCGGGUUGUAAACCUCUUUCAAUAGGGACGAAGCGCAAGUGACGGUACCUAUAGAAGAAGCACCGGCCAACUACGUG
Molecule: ribosomal RNA, 268 nt
Filed under: uncultured bacterium
Lineage: Bacteria
Description: partial 16S ribosomal RNA
Rfam family: Bacterial small subunit ribosomal RNA
Source: RNAcentral